CCUACGGGUGGCAGCAGUGAGGAAUAUUGGUCAAUGGACGCAAGCCUGAACCAGCCAAGCAGCGUGAAGGAUGACUGCUCUACGAGUUGUAAACUUCUUUUGUACGGGAAUAAAGUGAGGUACGUGUGUCUUUCUGUAUGUAUCUUAUGAAUCAGGAUCGGCUAACUCCGUGCCAGCAGCCGCGGUAAUACGGAGGAUUCGAGCGUUAUCCGGAUUUAUUGGGUUUAAAGGGUGCGUAGACGGGUGGUUAAGUCAGUUGUGAAAGCUUGAGGCUCAACCGCGGAAUUGCAUUUGAUACUGGCAGGCUAGAGUAUAGUUGAGGUAGGCGGAAUGCGUGGUGUAGCGGUGAAAUGCUUAGAGAUCAUGAAGAACACCGAUUGCGAAGGCAGCUUACUAAGCGACUACUGACGUUGAGGCUCGAAAGCGUGGGGAGCAAACAGGAUUAGAUACCCUUGUAGUC
This 460-nucleotide ribosomal RNA is filed under the name uncultured bacterium. RNAcentral describes it as "partial 16S ribosomal RNA". It matches the Rfam family "Bacterial small subunit ribosomal RNA", at positions 338 to 795 of the family's 1533-position model. The record is from RNAcentral.